CGAACGCUGGCGGCGCGUUUAAGCAUGCAAGUCGAGCGGCAAGGGCCUUCGGGCCCCUAGAGCGGCGGACGGGUGAGUAACACGUGGACAAUCUGCCCCCCGGCCCGGGAUAGCCCAGGGAAACCUGGAUUAAUACCGGAUGAGACGGGACCCGCGAUGGCGGGAUCCGGGAAAGGCGCUGCGGCGCCGCCGGGGGAUGAGUCUGCGUCCCAUUAGCUAGACGGCGGGUAACGGCCCACCGUGGCGACGAUGGGUAGCCGGCCUGAGAGGGUGGACGGCCACAUUGGAACUGAGACACGGUCCAGACUCCUACGGGAGGCAGCAGCUAAGAAUCUUCCGCAAUGGGCGAAAGCCUGACGGAGCCGACGCCGCGUGAACGAAGAAGGCCGUGAGGUUGUAAAGUUCUUUUCGGGAGGGGAACAACCGUGGCAGGGAAUGGCCGCGGGAUGACGUGAAUCCCGGAAUAAGCCCCGGCUAACUACGUGCCAGCCGCCGC
This 496-nucleotide ribosomal RNA is filed under the name uncultured bacterium. RNAcentral describes it as "bacterial SSU rRNA". It matches the Rfam family "Bacterial small subunit ribosomal RNA", at positions 30 to 518 of the family's 1533-position model. The record is from RNAcentral.